GGGUCUGCGUUUCAUUAGCUAGUUGGUAGGGUAAGAGCCUACCAAGGCGACGAUGGUUAGCUGGUCUGAGAGGAUGAUCAGCCACACUGGAACUGAGACACGGUCCAGACUCCUACGGGAGGCAGCAGUGGGGAAUUUUGCGCAAUGGGGGAAACCCUGACGCAGCAACGCCGCGUGAGUGAUGGAGGCUUUCGGGUCGUAAAGCUCUGUCUAGAGGGAAGAAAUGAUAUUCGGUUAAUACCCGGAUUUCUUGACGGUACCUCUGAAGGAAGCACCGGCUAACUCCGUGCCAGCAGCCGCGGUAAU
RNAcentral lists this ribosomal RNA (306 nucleotides) under uncultured delta proteobacterium. Its description in RNAcentral is "bacterial SSU rRNA". It matches the Rfam family "Bacterial small subunit ribosomal RNA", at positions 227 to 524 of the family's 1533-position model. The record is from RNAcentral. Lineage: Bacteria; Deltaproteobacteria.